AAGUCGUAACAAGGUUUCCGUAGGUGAACCUGCGGAAGGAUCAUUAACAAAAUUUAUGUUGAAGGGGGGAAAAACUAGACAAUGGACCUCUCACGGUUCUUGAAAAGUAUAUGAUACCCUUCAACUUAAUAUACAAAUACACCUUCUCUAGAGGGGGUGCUCUCAAACUUUUAAUCAAGUUUGUGAUUAUAUCUCUAGAGAAAUCCCAUAAUUAAACUUAUAUAAUUUUAAGUUUAAUUAUGGGAAAAAACAUAUUAACAUUUAACAUUUGACAAACAAUGGAGAACCAAUUUAUUUUAAUGGUAAACGUUUAAACAACUUUUAACAAUGGAUCUCUAGGCUCUU
RNAcentral lists this unclassified non-coding RNA (345 nucleotides) under fungal sp. RNAcentral's name for it is "partial internal transcribed spacer region". The stretch from base 1 to 46 matches the Rfam family "Eukaryotic small subunit ribosomal RNA", at positions 1786 to 1831 of the family's 1831-position model. The record is from RNAcentral. Lineage: Eukaryota; Fungi.